UGGGGAAUAUUGGACAAUGGGCGCAAGCCUGAUCCAGCCAUGCCGCGUGAGUGAUGAAGGCCCUAGAGUUGUAAAGCUCUUUCACCGGUGAAGAUAAUGACGGUAACCGGAGAAGAAGCCCCGGCUAACUUCGUGCCAGCAGCCGCGGUAAUACGAAGGGGGCUAGCGUUGUUCGGAUUUACUGGGCGUAAAGCGCACGUAGGCGGACUUUUAAGUCAGGGGUGAAAUCCCGGGGCUCAACCCCGGAACUGCCUUUGAUACUGGAAGUCUUGAGUAUGGUAGAGGUGAGUGGAAUUCCGAGUGUAGAGGUGAAAUUCGUAGAUAUUCGGAGGAACACCAGUGGCGAAGGCGGCUCACUGGACCAUUACUGACGCUGAGGUGCGAAAGCGUGGGGAGCAAACAGG
This 404-nucleotide ribosomal RNA is filed under the name Brucella melitensis. Its description in RNAcentral is "partial 16S ribosomal RNA". It matches the Rfam family "Bacterial small subunit ribosomal RNA", at positions 355 to 776 of the family's 1533-position model. RNAcentral also lists the same sequence under 1 other name. Lineage: Bacteria; Pseudomonadati; Pseudomonadota; Alphaproteobacteria; Hyphomicrobiales; Brucellaceae. The record is from RNAcentral.